CUGUGCAUAGUGGUAUAAUCAAAGUCAAACCUCUUCAGUUGUAAUGUCAGCAGAUAAGGAAAAUGCAAGAACCGCAGGCCCUUCCUUGCAUCACAUUUCUUCUUACAUCGCUCACAAAAAUACUGAUUGGGGCCAUCAAGAAUCUCAGGCUGAAUGAAAGCAUGCAGUGCUUCUUCCACGCUAGCAAACGCCUGGUUGGAGCCAUAUGGACGGAUGACCAAAGGAAUAUCCAGGUACGUGUCGAUUCUCC
This 250-nucleotide long non-coding RNA is filed under the name Gallus gallus (chicken). Lineage: Eukaryota; Metazoa; Chordata; Aves; Galliformes; Phasianidae. The record is from RNAcentral.